RNAcentral lists this long non-coding RNA (222 nucleotides) under Brassica napus (rape). RNAcentral's name for it is "long non-coding RNA (BNAP_LNC024453)". Lineage: Eukaryota; Viridiplantae; Streptophyta; Magnoliopsida; Brassicales; Brassicaceae. The record is from RNAcentral.
GGUGAUUAAGGUGAUCAUUAGACGAGCAAUGCAUGAGAGCGACCUACCGGAGCGACGCCAUGAACUCGCUCGCCAUCUACGCUUCGGAGCGACCUCCUAGAGCGACAAGGCGAAGUCGCUCCAGCUCCUAGAGCGACCUCACCACAGCGACACCCAGAGGUCGCUCGGGUUGUGUCGAUUUGAGAGCGACGAACAAGCCGGGAGCGACCUCCUAGAGUGACA